GUUUAAGAUAAGGCAGGAACAUGUUGUCACACCAAAAAGCAAGGAGGGUAUCAGUGACUAGUUAGAGUCAUUUCAAAACUACUCAGAGGUGUGGCCGGGCGCGGUGGCUCAAGCCUGUAAUCCCAGC
Molecule: long non-coding RNA, 127 nt
Organism: Sapajus apella (tufted capuchin)
Lineage: Eukaryota; Metazoa; Chordata; Mammalia; Primates; Cebidae
Exons: 3
Source: RefSeq, a predicted model, not a curated record